This is a long non-coding RNA of Eriocheir sinensis (Chinese mitten crab), 3708 nucleotides long. RefSeq lists it as uncharacterized. Lineage: Eukaryota; Metazoa; Arthropoda; Malacostraca; Decapoda; Varunidae. The transcript is spliced from 3 exons. The record is from RefSeq and is a predicted model, not a curated record.
AGGCAUCACCUCCUAAUAUAUCUGCCUCGUCUAGACGAAUCGGAGGCGUGUAAUGAUUUGAAACUCAUCCUGAAAUAUCUGUGGACUGUGCUGACCGUGCUGAGAUGAGUGGUUCGGCGAGGCGGACCUUGGAAACACCUACAUGGCCAUCACGACUGAAGUGGUGUUCACCGACAGGUAAAAUGCAGGUGCAACCUUCACAGACUGACAGAGAUUGAGUGAUAACAGACACUGGUGACCCUCCAAGCGAUGGCUGGUGACCGCCUGCCACCAUCCACAGGCUGUCACACAAGGAGCCCUGGGAGUAACCUUGCUGGAAGCCCCGCGGGCCGCGGUGUGUGGCUGGCGUUAUACAGCCCCCAGCCAUUGCCUGGAGGGCAUCCAGUGUCUGUUAUCACUCACCUUAGGUAGUCUGUGAAGGUCCAGUCAUCACUGGUGCACGUGUAUCUUACCUGUGAUCAACACCGGCAGCCACAGACUCCUGCCCAAGGAACGAACACAGUGAUCGUGAUGACAUUGACAACAACGAGCAAGUCCUCCUAGACCUAGAGUGACCUCAAGCUGGGCCAAACAUGAUGUGGAAGAAGAAAUCAGUUGUCUCCAUCAGUCGGGUUUGUGCCAUGGCAGCUUUCUCCAGCUGUCCGGCAGAGGUCCAGUCCAUGCCAUGGAGAAAUUCAGCCCCAACAAUGAGAUGGCAUGCCAGAGAUGGAUCCGCAGCUUCUCCUCCAAUCAGUCAAUCCUUGCAAUGCCCUUUCUCUUUUCUCUUCUUCUGUACCACCAUGCUUACACAUAACUGAUCCAAGGUACUUAAACUCGUUAACCUCCUCCAUUUCUUCACCAUUCAAAAUUAUUUGGCAUUCUUUUUCACAUUCAAUGCCCACUCUAUAUGGGCAUACAAACUCUACAACCUCCCUUCUACUCCGCUCACAAACCAUCACUUUACUUUUGUUGACAUUUACUUUCAACUUUCUCCUUUUACAUACACUAUCAAAAACACUGACCAAAUUUUGUAAGUCACUUUCAUUUUCUGCAUUGAGCACUGUGUCAUCAGCAAAUAAGAUUGAAUUCAUCACCCACUUCCCUCCCUCCCUCAGCAUACAUUUUUACUCCAAUUUCCCCAACUUUGCCCUUCAUUUCUCAUAACACCAUCCAUAUAAAUAUUGAACAACCAUGGUGACAUGACACACCCCUGCCUUAAGCCCACUUUCAUCUCAAAAUGUUCACUUGUUUCUCCAGUAAUUUUGACAUAUGCAGAUGCAUCCUCAUAGAAAGACUUUAUUGCAUUAAGCAGUUUUCCUCCCACACCAUAUACCUUUAAGAUGUCCCAUGUACAAUGCCAGCCAAUCGACUCUGUCAUAAACUUUCUCUAGAAUACCUAGAUCCAUGAAGGCAGCAUAGUAUUUUUUCCUUUUGCUAAUAUUUUUUCUACUACCAACUUGAACGAAAAAUCUGAUCCACACAUCCCCUUCCCUCCCUGAAGUCUCCUUGUUCUUCACUGAUUUUCUCUUCUGUAAGUCUUUGCACAAUCUCAAUUAGGACUUUUACAUAUACCUUUCCAUGUAGCCUACACUCAGCAGACUUAUACCCCUACAACUCCCACCUCCCCUCUCCUGCCCUUCCUCUUGUAAACUGGGACCAUGAUGGCUUUUAUCAAGUCUGCUGGGACCUCCCCCCCCCCUUCCCAGGCCACUUCACAUAUCUUGACCAUUCAUAUAGUAACUUCAUCUCCACACUUCAACAUUUCUGCUGUGAUUCCGCUCAAUUCAUUCAUCAUCAUCAUCUCAUCAACGCCUGCUCCUAGGAGCUCCCACCAGGGGAUUACCACGGCAGAAGUUUCCAUCUUUCUCUAUCCGGACACUCCCUCCUUGCCCGCUCAAAGUUUCUCAAGGAUCUUUCACCCUUCUCCCUAACGUACUCCUGCACCCUAUCCCUCCAUUUCACUGGAGGUCGUCCUCUAGCAUUCCCUUCCUUUAUCUCACUCACAUACACCCUUCUGGUCAUCUUACUCUCCUCCAUUCGCUCCAUGUGGCCAAACCACUUUAAAGUCUGUCACUUCACUUCUUCCACCACUCCACACUUCCUCCCUUCACCACCGUGACACAUUCCAAAACGCCUGUACACACUUUCAUUACUCAUUCCAUCCAUUCUACUCACACCACAAGCACUCCUCAAAUAACAAAUUUUCACUGCCUUUCAUUCCAGGCCCAUGUUUCAGUUGCAUAUGUGAGGGUUGGUACUAUUAUUGUAUUUUUAACUGAUAACUGAUCCAAGGUACUUAAACUCAUUGACCUCCUCCAUUUCUUCACCAUUCAAAAUAAUUUUGCAUUCUUUUUCACAUUCAGUUCCCUCUCUAUAUGGGCAUUUAAAAUCUACAACCUCACUUUUACUCCCCCCACAAACCAUCACUUUACUUUUGUUGACAUUUACUUUCAGCUUUCUCCUUUUACAUACACUAUCAAAAUGAGCACCGUGUCAUCAGUAAACAGGAUUGAAUUCAUCACCCACUUCCUUCCCUCAGCAUACAUUUUUACUCCAACUUCCCCAACUUUGCCCUUCAUUUCUCUCAUGACACCAUCCAUAUAGAUAUUGAACAACCACGGUGACAUGACACACCCCUGCCUUAAUCCCACUUUUAACUCAAAAUGUUCACUUGUUUCUCCAGUAAUUUUGACACAUGCACAUGCUCCUCAUAGAAAGACUUUAUUGCACUGAGCAGUUUUCCUCCCACACUGUAAAUCUUUAAAACAUCCCACAAUGCAAUCCAAUCCAAUUGACUCUGAAGAAAAAUAUCUGAUUGAUUCCAUCAGUUCCUGCUGCUUUUCCAUUUUUUAAUCUUUUCAUUGCUUGAUUUACUUGUUCAUAUGUUAUACUUCUUUCUUUAUAUACUCCUCCUCUACCUCCACUCAAAACUGUUGUUGUUACAGCUGCUGGACGUCCAUCAUCAAAAUUCAUUAAGUUUUCACAGCUUCCCCGUCUUUCAACAUCUUUCCAUUCUCAUCCAUAACUUCAUUAAUUUUACUUGGGGAGAUAUUAUUGGGGUGAUGCAUUUCUUUCGUUUUUUACUUCUUUCCAAUAUGAUUUUGUGUUCCCUUUUCACUUAGUCUUUUUCCAAAGUCUUCAUCAACUCUCUUCUUGCUUUCUUUUAUGGCUUGUUUUAAUUACAUUUUGCAUUCUCUAUAUUUCUUUUUCCUUUCCCUUUUUACUUGCUCAGCCACAUUUCUUUCUUGAGUUUUCUUAAAAAGUUCCCUUUAUUCUUUUACUAUCCUCCUUAUCUUUUGUCCACCAUGAAUUUCCUUUUAUUUUUCCAUCCCUCACCACUUUCAUUCCUACCACUUUUUUGUUGUAGUUAACACUACUUUGAAUGUUCCAAAAACUUUUUCAAUAUCUAUCUGUACUAUCUUUCACACUCCCAUUUUUCACUUAAGGCCUCUGCCAUUUCAUGUUAUACUCAUCUUUUAUUUCUUUUCCUGUAACUUUUCUAUCUUCAGUAUUUCCUUUUUUACUUCAUCUUUCUUUUCAAACACCCACUUUUGCAAGAUGGUCAGACCCAUCGAACAUUCCACUUACUACCUUCGUGUCACAAAUAUCCUUUCUCAGUCUUCCAUCUACUGCCACAUAAUCAAUUAAUCCUUUCUGUUCAUAACCCCCCUCCUCCAUGUGUAUAUGUGGAUAUUAUAGACAACAGUAAUAAAGCCCCACACAUCAGAA